UAGUCAGAACAAAUGACUGUGUGCAGAGCC
RNAcentral lists this non-coding RNA (30 nucleotides) under Macaca fascicularis (crab-eating macaque). RNAcentral also lists the same sequence under 1 other name. Lineage: Eukaryota; Metazoa; Chordata; Mammalia; Primates; Cercopithecidae. The record is from RNAcentral.